RNAcentral lists this ribosomal RNA (465 nucleotides) under Vreelandella stevensii. Its description in RNAcentral is "partial 16S ribosomal RNA". It matches the Rfam family "Bacterial small subunit ribosomal RNA", at positions 338 to 795 of the family's 1533-position model. Lineage: Bacteria; Pseudomonadati; Pseudomonadota; Gammaproteobacteria; Oceanospirillales; Halomonadaceae. The record is from RNAcentral.
CCUACGUGUGGCAGCAGUGGGGAAUAUUGGACAAUGGGCGAAAGCCUGAUCCAGCCAUGCCGCGUGUGUGAAGAAGGCCUUCGGGUUGUAAAGCACUUUCAGUGGGGAAGAAAGCCUUGGGGCUAAUACCCUCGAGGAAGGACAUCACCCACAGAAGAAGCACCGGCUAACUCCGUGCCAGCAGCCGCGGUAAUACGGAGGGUGCGAGCGCUAAUCGGAAUUACUGGGCGUAAAGCGCGCGUAGGCGGUCUGAUAAGCCGGUUGUGAAAGCCCCGGGCUCAACCUGGGAACGGCAUCCGGAACUGUCAGGCUAGAGUGCAGGAGAGGAAGGUAGAAUUCCCGGUGUAGCGGUGAAAUGCGUAGAGAUCGGGAGGAAUACCAGUGGCGAAGGCGGCCUUCUGGACUGACACUGACGCUGAGGUGCGAAAGCGUGGGUAGCAAACAGGAUUAGAUACCCCGGUAGUC